GACGAACGCUGGCGGCGUGCUUAACACAUGCAAGUCGAACGCUGAAGCUUGGUGUUUGCACUGGGUGGGUGAGUGGCGAACGGGUGAGUAAUACGUGAGUAACCUGUCCUUGUCUCUGGGAUAAGCCUGGGAAACUGGGUCUCAUACUGGAUAUGACAUGCCACUGCAUGGUGGUGUGUGGAAAGGGUUUUACUGGUUUUGGAUGGGCUCACGGCCUAUCAGCUUGUUGGUGGGGUAAUGGCCUACCAAGGCGACGACGGGUAGCCGGCCUGAGAGGGUGACCGGCCACACUGGGAAUGGGACACGGGCCAGACUCCUAAGGGGGGCAACAGGGGGGAAUAUUGCACAAUGGGCGGAAGCCUGAUGCAGCGACGCCGCGUGAGGGAUGACGGCCUUCGGGUUGUAAACCUCUUUCAGCACGGAAGAAGCGAGAGUGACGGUACGUGCAGAAGAAGCACCGGCUAACUACGUG
This 472-nucleotide ribosomal RNA is filed under the name uncultured bacterium. Its description in RNAcentral is "partial 16S ribosomal RNA". It matches the Rfam family "Bacterial small subunit ribosomal RNA", at positions 28 to 507 of the family's 1533-position model. The record is from RNAcentral.